UACGUAGGGUGCAAGCGUUGUCCGGAUUUAUUGGGCGUAGAGAGCGUGUAGGCGGCCCGGUAAGUCCGCUGUGAAAGUCGGGGGCUCAACCCUCGAAUGCCGGUGGAUACUGUCGGGCUAGAGUGCGGAAGAGGCGAGUGGAAUUCCUGGUGUAGCGGUGAAAUGCGCAGAUAUCAGGAGGAACACCGAUUGCGAAGGCAGCUCGCUGGGACGGUACUGACGCUGAGACGCGAAAGCGUGGGGAGCGAACAGG
This 253-nucleotide ribosomal RNA is filed under the name uncultured bacterium. RNAcentral describes it as "partial 16S ribosomal RNA". It matches the Rfam family "Bacterial small subunit ribosomal RNA", at positions 524 to 776 of the family's 1533-position model. The record is from RNAcentral.